CGCUCCAUAAGCUGUUGGUGAACAUACCAUGAGACAGAGAGAGAGCGAGACAGAAAGCGCUCACCAGCCCUUCCUCCUCACUUUCCCACCAUGGAAUAGCUAACCUUGCCCCCACCCACACCUCCAUCACCUCUCAGCGUCCUGCAAUUAUUUUGACCCUCUCUCUGGUCUUUUUGGAAGGAAGCUUCUGUCACUUCUUAACACCACCUGCCUGGAAACACACACAGAGGCAAAACCCCCCAAGCCCUCUUGUGAAGGAAGAAGUCCUUUUUUUUUAAACCUCUUUUUGUUUGCCCUGACUCCAGAGCGUCAGACUCCAGCCUGAGCAGCCACAAUUUCUUACCAUGUAUUCUGCUUUUAAACCAUCUCCUUCCUGCACACGCUCAGUCCUUGCAGGCACGGAUCUAACACAACUCCCCGCUUCUCGCCGGCAGGUUCUUUGCUCCCCAUCACUCAGCUGAUCCUGAUCUUUUUUUCUCCUAUUCUCCCCACCCCGGGCACCGAGGUGUGUGUGUGUCUGCGUGUGAGCGUGCCUGUGUGCAAGGAGGGGAGGUGGGGGGGGGCCCUUUUUUUUUUUUUUUUUUUUUCUCCUUCGUGGGGGUAUUUUUUCAAAGCAUCUUCAUUAUUGUUUUAUUUUGCUUCUCUGACUUGGAGACUUCUCCCUGGGAGAUUUCUUUUCCAUGCAAAGGGGUUCUCACUUGUGGCUGGCAUGGCAGAGUACGUUCCCCAGCCUCCCUCCACCUGGCCUGCAGGCCCACAGCCCCCUCACACUUCUGCCAUCUGCCCACUGGAGCCUGUGGAUCUGGGGAUCUCGGAGCAACAAACACCACCGGAGCAGCCACCGUCCUCCCUGGAGCUGGGGGAGGAUGAAGAAGUCACCUCCCCUCCAGACCCUGAUGUCCCCUACCCAGACUUGGCUCCAGUUGUCUUCUUCUGCUUGAAGCAGACUACCAGCCCACGGAGCUGGUGCAUCAAAAUGGUGUGCAACCCAUAUCCUUUCUGAGCUGCCCCUUCUCCCUCCCUGCCUCUGGCUCCCUCCUGCCCUGUUCUCCCCUCAUCCUGCCCUUCUGGGGUGCCUUGCAGGUAAGGAAUAACUUUUAUUACACAUUUAACGACCUUCUUUGUUC
This 1127-nucleotide long non-coding RNA is filed under the name Catharus ustulatus (Swainson's thrush). RNAcentral describes it as "lncRNA (ENSCUSG00005005750.1)". The record is from RNAcentral. Lineage: Eukaryota; Metazoa; Chordata; Aves; Passeriformes; Turdidae.